UGGGGUUGUGGCUCAGUGGUAGAGUGUUUGCAUCACAUGUGUGAGGCACUGAGUUUGAUCCUCAGCACCACAA
Molecule: transfer RNA, 73 nt
Filed under: Marmota monax (woodchuck)
Lineage: Eukaryota; Metazoa; Chordata; Mammalia; Rodentia; Sciuridae
Description: tRNA.Val
Source: RNAcentral